Molecule: ribosomal RNA, 833 nt
Filed under: Kocuria rosea subsp. polaris
Lineage: Bacteria; Bacillati; Actinomycetota; Actinomycetes; Micrococcales; Micrococcaceae
Description: bacterial SSU rRNA
Rfam family: Bacterial small subunit ribosomal RNA
Source: RNAcentral
CUGGGAUUUCCUGUUGUAGCCGUGAAAUGCCCAGAUAUUCAGGAGGAACACCGGUGGAGAAGGCAGGUCUCUGGGCUGUUACUGACGCUGAAGGAGCGAAACCAUGGGGAGCGAACAGGAUUAGAUACCCUGGGUAGGUCCAUGCCGUAAUACGUUGGGCAACUAGGUGUGGGGGACAUUCCACGUUCUCCGCGCCGUAGCUAACGCAUUAAGUGCCCCGCCUGGGGAGUACGGCCGCAAGGCUAAAACUCAAAGGAAUUGACGGGGGCCCGCACAAGCGGCGGAGCAUGCGGAUUAAUUCGAUGCAACGCGAAGAACCUUACCAAGGCUUGACAUUCACCGGACCGCCCCAGAGAUGGGGUUUCCCUUCGGGGUCGGUGGACAGGUGGUGCAUGGUUGUCGUCAGCUCGUGUCGUGAGAUGUUGGGUUAAGUCCCGCAACGAGCGCAACCCUCGUUCUAUGUUGCCAGCACGUGAUGGUGGGGAGUCAUAGGAGACUGCCGGGGUCAACUCGGAGGAAGGUGGGGAUGACGUCAAAUCAUCAUGCCCCUUAUGUCUUGGGCUUCACGCAUGCUACAAUGGCCGGUACAAAGGGUUGCGAUACUGUGAGGUGGAGCUAAUCCCAAAAAGCCGGUCUCAGUUCGGAUUGAGGUCUGCAACUCGACCUCAUGAAGUGGGAGUCGAUAGUAAUCGCAGAUCAGCAACGAUGCGGUGAAUACGUUCCCGGGCCUUGUACACACCGCCCGUCAAGUCACGAAAGUUGGUAACACCCGAAGCCGGUGGCCUAACCCCUUGGGGAGGAGCCUCGAAGGGGGGCACGAAUUGAAAAGGGUG